GAUGAACGCUAGCUACAGGCUUAACACAUGCAAGUCGAGGGGCAGCAUGAAGUUUGCUUGCAAACUUUGAUGGCGACCGGCGCACGGGUGCGUAACAGGUGUGCAAUCUGUCCAUAGUCGGGAAUAGCCCAGCGAAAGUUGGAUUAAAGCUCCAUGUGAGUGAACGCCGCAUGACGAUCACUUGAAACGUAAGGACUAUGGGUGAGCACGCUUCUGAUUAGAUAGUUGGUGAGGUAACGGCUCACCAAGUCGACGAUGCGUAGGGGUUCUGAGAGGAAGGUCCCCCACACUGGUACUGAGACACGGACCAGACUCC
This 316-nucleotide ribosomal RNA is filed under the name uncultured Paludibacter sp. RNAcentral describes it as "bacterial SSU rRNA". It matches the Rfam family "Bacterial small subunit ribosomal RNA", at positions 28 to 339 of the family's 1533-position model. Lineage: Bacteria; Pseudomonadati; Bacteroidota; Bacteroidia; Bacteroidales; Paludibacteraceae. The record is from RNAcentral.